AUUGAACGCUGGCGGCAGGCCUAACACAUGCAAGUCGAGCGGAUGAAGGGAGCUUGCUCCUGGAUUCAGCGGCGGACGGGUGAGUAAUGCCUAGGAAUCUGCCUGGUAGUGGGGGAUAACGUCCUGAAACGGGCGCUAAUACCGCAUACGUCCUGAGGGAGAAAGUGGGGGAUCUUCGGACCUCACGCUAUCAGAUGAGCCUAGGUCGGAUUAGCUAGUUGGUGGGGUAAAGGCCUACCAAGGCGACGAUCCGUAACUGGUGUGAGAGGAUGAUCAGUCACACUGGAACUGAGACACGGUCCAGACGCCUACGGGAGGCAGCAGUGGGGAAUAUUGGACAAUGGGCGAAAGCCUGAUCCAGCCAUGCCGCGUGUGUGAAGAAGGUCUUCGGAUUGUAAAGCACUUUAAGUUGGGAGGAAGGGCAGUAAGUUAAUACCUUGCUGUUUUGACGUUACCAACAGAAUAAGCACCGGCUAACUUCGUG
RNAcentral lists this ribosomal RNA (484 nucleotides) under uncultured bacterium. RNAcentral's name for it is "partial 16S ribosomal RNA". It matches the Rfam family "Bacterial small subunit ribosomal RNA", at positions 30 to 507 of the family's 1533-position model. The record is from RNAcentral.